Chelonia mydas (Green sea turtle) is the source of this 855-nucleotide long non-coding RNA. RefSeq lists it as uncharacterized. The record is from RefSeq and is a predicted model, not a curated record. The transcript has 3 exons. Lineage: Eukaryota; Metazoa; Chordata; Testudines; Cheloniidae.
GACUGGCUGCCCUGGAGGAGGGAGAAGAGCAUGUGUCAGGGGAGUGUUGGUGAGCUCCCGGUUGAGCACUGCCAGACUGAGGCCCUGAUAGAAGGGCAGAGAAGGCGCUAGGGGUGCAGGGAAGUGGCCUAGGGAAACAGAUGGCAGGGGUUUGAGGUGAUACAGUGUGUGGCUGCUGGCUAGAGGGUCCCUGGGCUGGAACCCAGAGUAGCAGGUGGGCCCAGGUACUACUGAUGCAGGUGGCUAGACCCUGGACUGUAGCGUGCCACUGAGGCAAGUGGCUGGACAGAGGACUACCAGCCCCCUGGAAGGAGGGGGAGAGAACUGAGUGGGGCACAGCCAGAGGGCUGUGUCCAGAAGAGAAUACCAUGUUCCUGAGAGUGACACUGCUUCUGAUGGCAGAAGCAUUGGUGGUGAGAUGCCACUAGGUGAAGGCACACUGGUGAACUAGAGCUAAUUCCCAGGAUGGCCAGCAGGAGGCACCGCCGUGAAAAUGGAGAAAUCUGAAGCAGAAGAGAAGCAAGAGGAAUCUGAGAUUGUGUUGUACAAAGGCCUUACCACCAUAUUGUAGCAGCAAUAUGCUUGGCAGAUUCUCAGCUUGCGCUCCUGAAAGGAGUUCUGUAUUCUGCAACCUUUAUCUUUUCCAGUGUGCCCAACUUCAUGAAAUUUGAAGCAUUUACGCCAUGGGAAGUACAUCCUAUUGCAGUAAUACGUUCAUUAUGAUGUCUCGUGCUGCUUUCCUUUAUUGGCUUUGUCAGUCUGCCAAUCAAAUACUUUCCCACUUCCAACCUUCUCUACUAAUAUACUCUGCUAUAUGGAUGUUCUCUUCUGUAUUAAUGUUCUUGUGUGUGUUUG